RNAcentral lists this small RNA (772 nucleotides) under Pan troglodytes (chimpanzee). RNAcentral's name for it is "retained intron". The record is from RNAcentral. Lineage: Eukaryota; Metazoa; Chordata; Mammalia; Primates; Hominidae.
CGCCUCGUACCACAUUUCCAAUUUGCUGGAAAAAAUGACAUCCAGCGACAAGGACUUUAGGUUUAUGGCUACAAAUGAUUUGAUGACGGAACUGCAGAAAGAUUCCAUCAAGUUGGAUGAUGAUAGUGAAAGGAAAGUAGUGAAAAUGAUUUUAAAGUUAUUGGAAGAUAAAAAUGGAGAGGUACAGAAUUUAGCUGUCAAAUGUCUUGGUCCUUUAGUGAGUAAAGUGAAAGAAUACCAAGUAGAGACAAUUGUAGAUACCCUCUGCACUAACAUGCUUUCUGAUAAAGAACAACUUCGAGACAUUUCAAGUAUUGGUCUUAAAACAGUAAUUGGAGAACUUCCUCCAGCUUCCAGUGGUAAGCAAGAGCACAUUUUUCUUCCUAUUUCUUUUUGUGUGGAGGUAUUUCUCCCCACCCUUUUUUCCCCUUCUGGCCAAGGAGGGAGGGAGGUGGCUGUCCUUACAGAUGUUCAUAGGAAUCCCUUUGGACAAUUAAGAAAAUUAAAGCAUGAAGCCUUAUUUUUCUUAGAAAUAAAUGUUAAAUGAAUAUUUCGAUUGAACUUGUAUGUAAUAUGAAUUUCAGUGAAGGAUUUUUAUAUGUUGGAGCAAGAUUUUAUACUGUGUGUACCAUGACUGCAGACUAGAGUUAUGCCAACCUAUGCAGUGAGGGAAGAGAUAACCAAAAUAUUGCGUCCUGAUGAGUUCACUGUUUCCAGUAUUAAUUUUACUUUGCGUCAGUAUUUGCUAUGUAAAAUUUAACACCAUUCAGAC